GAUUUCUUUAAUUUUGCUUCUCAAGCAAAUACUCAGGCACUUUUAGGUUGAGACACCAUUGACCUUCAACUGCUAAUUAUGGACAACAUUACUAUUUUUGGUCACAUGGAUGGAGACUUACGUCGAACUGUAAUAUUGACUCCUUUUACUCAUUUUCUU
Molecule: non-coding RNA, 159 nt
Organism: Camellia sinensis
Lineage: Eukaryota; Viridiplantae; Streptophyta; Magnoliopsida; Ericales; Theaceae
Source: RefSeq, a predicted model, not a curated record